RNAcentral lists this ribosomal RNA (1490 nucleotides) under metagenome. Its description in RNAcentral is "bacterial SSU rRNA". It matches the Rfam family "Bacterial small subunit ribosomal RNA". The record is from RNAcentral.
AGAGUUUGAUCAUGGCUCAGGACGAACGCUGGCGGCGUGCUUAACACAUGCAAGUCGAACGAGAAUCUGCGGAAAGAGGAUUCGUCCAAUUGAAGCAGAGGACAGUGGCGGACGGGUGAGUAACGCGUGAGGAACCUGCCUUUCUGAGGGGGACAACAGUUGGAAACGACUGCUAAUACCGCAUGACACAUCGGAGUCGCAUGGCUCUGAUGUCAAAGAUUUAUCGCUGAAAGAUGGCCUCGCGUCUGAUUAGCUAGUUGGUGAGGUAACGGCCCACCAAGGCGACGAUCAGUAGCCGGACUGAGAGGUUGAACGGCCACAUUGGGACUGAGAUACGGCCCAGACUCCUACGGGAGGCAGCAGUGGGGAAUAUUGGGCAAUGGGCGCAAGCCUGACCCAGCAACGCCGCGUGAAGGAAGAAGGCUUUCGGGUUGUAAACUUCUUUUGUCAGGGACGAGUAGAAGACGGUACCUGACGAAUAAGCCACGGCUAACUACGUGCCAGCAGCCGCGGUAAUACGUAGGUGGCAAGCGUUGUCCGGAUUUACUGGGUGUAAAGGGCGUGUAGCCGGGAGGGCAAGUCAGAUGUGAAAUCCACGGGCUCAACUCGUGAACUGCAUUUGAAACUACUCUUCUUGAGUAUCGGAGAGGCAAUCGGAAUUCCUAGUGUAGCGGUGAAAUGCGUAGAUAUUAGGAGGAACACCAGUGGCGAAGGCGGAUUGCUGGACGACAACUGACGGUGAGGCGCGAAAGCGUGGGGAGCAAACAGGAUUAGAUACCCUGGUAGUCCACGCUGUAAACGAUGAAUACUAGGUGUGCGGGGACUGACCCCCUGCGUGCCGCAGCUAACGCAAUAAGUAUUCCACCUGGGGAGUACGAUCGCAAGGUUGAAACUCAAAGGAAUUGACGGGGGCCCGCACAAGCGGUGGAUUAUGUGGUUUAAUUCGAAGCAACGCGAAGAACCUUACCUGCUCUUGACAUCUCCCUGACCGGCAAGUAAUGUUGCCUUUCCUUCGGGACAGGGAUGACAGGUGGUGCAUGGUUGUCGUCAGCUCGUGUCGUGAGAUGUUGGGUUAAGUCCCGCAACGAGCGCAACCCCUAUCUUUAGUAGCCAGCGGUCAGGCCGGGCACUCUAGAGAGACUGCCAGGGAUAACCUGGAGGAAGGUGGGGAUGACGUCAAAUCAUCAUGCCCCUUAUGAGCAGGGCUACACACGUGCUACAAUGGCGUAAACAAAGGGAGGUAGAACCGCGAGGUCGAGCAAAUCCCAAAAAUAACGUCUCAGUUCGGAUUGUAGUCUGCAACUCGACUACAUGAAGCUGGAAUCGCUAGUAAUCGCGAAUCAGAAUGUCGCGGUGAAUACGUUCCCGGGUCUUGUACACACCGCCCGUCACACCAUGGGAGUCAGUAACGCCCGAAGUCAGUGACCCAACCGUAAGGAGGGAGCUGCCGAAGGUGGGACCGAUAACUGGGGUGAAGUCGUAACAAGGUA